This 274-nucleotide ribosomal RNA is filed under the name uncultured bacterium. RNAcentral describes it as "partial 16S ribosomal RNA". It matches the Rfam family "Bacterial small subunit ribosomal RNA", at positions 523 to 796 of the family's 1533-position model. The record is from RNAcentral.
AUACGGAGGGUGCGAGCGUUAAUCGGAAUUACUGGGCGUAAAGGGUGCGUAGGCGGCUUGAUAAGUCGGAUGUGAAAGCCCCGGGCUUAACCUGGGAAUUGCAUUCGAUACUGUCAGGCUAGAGUAUGUCAGAGGUUGGCGGAAUUCCUGGUGUAGCGGUGAAAUGCGUAGAUAUCAGGAGGAACACCAGUGGCGAAGGCGGCUAACUGGGACAAUACUGACGCUGAGGCACGAAAGCGUGGGGAGCAAACAGGAUUAGAUACCCCAGUAGUCC